Molecule: long non-coding RNA, 636 nt
Organism: Labrus mixtus (cuckoo wrasse)
Lineage: Eukaryota; Metazoa; Chordata; Actinopteri; Labriformes; Labridae
Exons: 2
Source: RefSeq, a predicted model, not a curated record
CAAAACAUUUAUCAACAACUUCAUUAAUAAGUGACGUUUUAAUUUGACAGUAAGAUGAUUUAAAGGGGACAUAUCAUGAAGAAUCCUCUCCUACAGUGUUUAUGAACAUAUAUCUGUGUAACCUGAGAGUCUACUGACCCACAACAUGUGAAAUAAACCAUCCAGUCCUUUGUUUGUGGUCUGCAUAAGUCUUACAACACAGAGAAAAAUGCUCUGUUUCUAAUGUGCUCUCCUUGUGAUGUCACAGUGGGAUUCUGGUAAAAAAAUAAUAAUAAUCCCCCCCCAUUUAAAGAGACACACACACCAAAACGGAGCGUUCUGAGAGAGCUGGUUUAUACAGGGUCACAAACCUCCUCUGGUGCUUGAUUCAUGUUAUAUUUUGAACAAAGCACAGAUGUUUCAUUUAGACCACAGGGGGACUGUUUGAAAAGGUGGAGGAGGGGGCUGUUUGAAAAGGUGGAGGAGGGGGACUGUUUGAAAAGGUGGAGGAGGACUGUUUGAAAAGGUGGAGGAGGACUGUUUGAAAAGGUGGAGGAGGACUGUUUGAAAAGGUGGAGGAGGGGACUGUUUGAAAAGGUGGAGAAGGGGACUGUUUGAAAAGGUGGAGGAGGAGGACUGUUUGAAAAGGUGGAGGAG